This 644-nucleotide long non-coding RNA is filed under the name Setaria italica (foxtail millet). Its description in RNAcentral is "long non-coding RNA (SITA_LNC006897)". The record is from RNAcentral. Lineage: Eukaryota; Viridiplantae; Streptophyta; Magnoliopsida; Poales; Poaceae.
GUCGGUCAUCUAGAUUGUGUUGUUGAAGUAUAAAAAAAUUAUCCACCUUUUUUACAAUAACAGUAACCUUUUAGGUUGAGUCAGACGGUGCAUGCAAGCUCAAUAUUGUGUAGAAGAAGAAAUGAAGUAGAGACCAUAGAAAAAAGUUAAUGCAUAUAUGGGACACAUCAAUACAUAACCAUACAUUUUUUAUGCUAUUUAGUGAAUUGAUUUGAGGAUAGAAUGGAAGAAUAAAACAACAUUUUUUUACCUCAGGAAGGUAUGCCUUAUUUUUUUAUAAUUUCUUGAAAAAUAUAGUGCAACUAUGAAAACUUUGCAGCUAUUUAAGUAUUUAUUUGUAUAUUUACUGCUACACUAUAAGAUGUCUUAAUCGUCUAGUUGGUCAUCUAGAUUGUGUUGUUGAAGUACAAAAAAAAUUAUCCGCCUUUUUACAAUUCAAUAACCUUUUAGGUUGAGUCAGUCGGUGCAUGCAAGCUCAAUAUUGUGUAGAAGAAGAAAUGAAGUAGAGACCAUAGAAAAAGGUUAAUGCAUAUAUGGGAGACAUCAAUACAUAACAAGACAUUUUUUCUCUCACCAUCAGACUAACUGACAAAGUGAUAAUAAAUAACACAUGCAACUUAAAGAAGAUGCAGAGACUACCAAAU